CUCUGCUUGCGCAUGCGCAAUGCCAGCCAGUGCCUGCGCGGCUUGCUCCAGCAAGGUAAAAUUUCCCACUGCGAGGCAGGCAGUGAUGCUGCGGCCGCUUCGCACUGUGGCUCCUGCCGACCGCCAGGCGCUGUUACAGUGGAUGCGAACUAACCGUAAGUAUGCAGCAGCAGCCGGAACCCACAGUUCACCUUGGUGCAUUCCUUUAUGAUGAAGACUUAUUGAUUCAUUAUAUGAGAAAGGAAAAAUGAGCAGAAACUACUGUAUGAUGUGCAGCUCACACCAGACAGCAACUUUAGAGUAAUUUAUCCCUACUUACAGAGAGAUUGCCCUACGUGUAACAGCUGCAUACAAAAAAGUUAUAAAAUUAUCAUUGGUUUAACAAGGAUAAGUGAAAAACAUUAAAAUUCUCCAACUGAACAAGGUAUGCAAGGAUUUUUAUCUUGUUGUUGUUUUGUUAAAAUAGUAAGAGCAAAAUAACUUACUGGAAUAUAAAGAUAAGAGCUGAAUGAGCAUGCCACUAAUGGAGAAAGGGGGUAUUUUCACAGAAUCAGUAUUUUUUCCCAUUCCAUCUCCACUUGAUGUCAGUCAAAACGUACCAUUGCUAUUUAGUUUAAAAAAUGCAAUAUGGGUUGGGCGCG
This 641-nucleotide long non-coding RNA is filed under the name Homo sapiens (human). RNAcentral describes it as "HSALNT0376338". The record is from RNAcentral. Lineage: Eukaryota; Metazoa; Chordata; Mammalia; Primates; Hominidae.